GUACAACUUGCACCCUUUACAGUUCAUCACGCAGGAUUUAGUAAAGAAAUAGUAAAACUUUGGUGUCUAUUGUCUGAGAUUGUUCAGUUGAGUAACAAAAUGAAAUUGCUGGAAUCGGAACUCACUAGGCUGGGUGAUCUGCAGUACCAAUUUAAUGAAAACAUUUACAAGCAGUUUCCAGAAACAUUGAAAAAACAGAAAAUACACCAUAAUCUCCAUACUGAGCAACAAAUCAGACUUCAUGGGGUCCCUAUAGGUUAUACUACUGAGACAGGGGAAAGCUGGUGUGGUAUAGUCAAACAUUUUCAGAGCAUUACAAACCACCACAAUGCCAA
Molecule: long non-coding RNA, 335 nt
Organism: Mytilus californianus (California mussel)
Lineage: Eukaryota; Metazoa; Mollusca; Bivalvia; Mytilida; Mytilidae
Exons: 3
Source: RefSeq, a predicted model, not a curated record